AAUACAAUAUAAAACAAUAUUAUAGAGCGGUUUGUCAUUUUCAUCAUCGAAGCCAUAAUAAUAGACAAGUUGAUCUUUAUCUUAGAACUAGUGGAUAACUAGCUUUAAUAUACCUGGUAUUAUUUCAGGUAACUUUCUUAAGAUUAUCUUGCAUUUCGUAUUAUACAAUAAUCAAUUUGAACUUUUAUUUACAUUUUAUUUAACUUUAAGCGUUUGAAUUGUGUGCUAACAAUUUGUGUUUAAAAAGUUUUUGAUCAGGUUGAUUUGAUUGAUCCUUUCAUCGUAAAUUACCCUAAUUAAAUAAACACUAUUUAGAUAAUGAUUGAUCUCAAUGAUUUUUCAUCUGCAUCUGAUUUCCAAUGGCUAUAUUGAGUUAUUUGAAACAGAAAAUUAUAUAAUAUUAGAAACAAAUCAAACGUUGGUAUGAUUAGGGCAACCUAAUCACGUAAACUAUUAAUAGGAGACAAUUAACAAUCUAAAUAUCAUGUAAAUCUUAUUUUGUCUGAUAGUCAACUUAUGUGAAACUGAAACAUUUGAUACAACAAAGAUGCGGCACAACGAAAGGAUUAGGUGUCUCAUUUGGACUAACUAACAUUGAGUUUAUAUGUAAUUCAUAAUUUAGGUGCAGAGGAACCGCACUUGUGUCACAAAAGGAUUAAUGCUAAUGCCAUUGAGAUUGAUUGGAAGUCUGUUAUAAUUUGUGAUUUUAGUCAAGGUUAAGUAAAUUCUGUUCAUUCGUAAUCAAGAACCGAUAAAUGAGACGUCAAGUGAAUUAUUUUAUACCAUUUGAGCGUCACACUGAUUGACCUUUCACAUGAAAAAGAUACUAAUUGAAAAGUAAAAGUUUAAAUAUCAAAAUUUGCCAGUUCAACUGUUGAACGGAAUCAAGCUUUUCUGAAUCUAACCUUCAAAACUUAAAAUUUAAUUUUCCUCUCACUCUGUGGUAACUUGAUUGUGAUUAAGGGAGAAAAGGCUAAAUAAAUAUGACCUGAUCAACUAAAUUUAGUUUCAUUAUAAUCAAAUCUUUUGAAUGAUAUUUUUGUAUGAAUUGAACAGUUAGAAAAUCAGUUUCUAUUGUUGAAACCUUUUUGUUUUUGUUUGGCCUUUUCAAUUUGUUUUGGCUUGGUUUUGCAUCUAUUACUACAAUCUAUUGAUGGAUCUUCGGGUUAAAUCACUUGUUAUCCUAAUCGCCAUCUUCUUACUGGUCAUUCCAAAGUCAACCGACGGAAUCUUCUAUCGCCAUUACUACCGGUACCCAUAUUACAGCUACUAUCCAUAUUAUGGUUAUUACAAUAAUCCAAGACUUUAUGGACUCUAUCGUUCCCCAUAUUAUGGAUAUUAUGGUUGACAAAGAUCAAGUGGCCCUCAUUUCGUGAAAUUUUUAAUCCAAAGGCUUGAUAACCAAUAAUGAAUAAUGAUCAAUCAUCUUAAUUUAAUAAUUCAUACAGCUCAUA
Tetranychus urticae (two-spotted spider mite) is the source of this 1454-nucleotide non-coding RNA. Lineage: Eukaryota; Metazoa; Arthropoda; Arachnida; Trombidiformes; Tetranychidae. The record is from RefSeq and is a predicted model, not a curated record.